Long non-coding RNA from Choloepus didactylus (southern two-toed sloth), 265 nucleotides. RefSeq lists it as uncharacterized. The record is from RefSeq and is a predicted model, not a curated record. Lineage: Eukaryota; Metazoa; Chordata; Mammalia; Pilosa; Megalonychidae. The transcript is spliced from 3 exons.
CUCCAGUGAAGAGAUUUCCACCAAUGGAAAUAACCAUCCUUCUUUGGCUUAGAAGAAAGAAAAUACCUCAUUCAACAUAAAUCAUCAUUGAGAAGAAUGAAAUCUUAUGACACCAUCCCAUAUAGAAAACAGAUAAAAGUGGUGCAGACAUCAUUGAACUGGGAUCAAGGGCAAGCCUCACCUGCUAAGCUUCCCCGUCCCUGGCCAAGGACCUCCUGGGGCAGUAAUAGAUAUACCCAGAGUUCAGACUCUGAGGCUGGCUGUC